RNAcentral lists this unclassified non-coding RNA (304 nucleotides) under Galerina sphagnorum. Its description in RNAcentral is "partial contains 5.8S ribosomal RNA, internal transcribed spacer 2, and large subunit ribosomal RNA". Lineage: Eukaryota; Fungi; Basidiomycota; Agaricomycetes; Agaricales; Galerinaceae. The record is from RNAcentral.
CGCACCUUGCGCUCCUUGGUAUUCCGAGGAGCAUGCCUGUUUGAGUGUCAUUAAAUUCUCAACCUUAUCAGCUUUUGUUGAUAAUGGCUUGGAUGUGGGGGUGUCUUUGUAGGCUUUGUUAAAAAGGUCUACUCCCCUGAAAUGCAUUAGCUGGUACCCCGUGUGGACCGUCUAUUGGUGUGAUAAUUAUCUACGCCGUGGACGUCUGCUUUAAAUGGGUUGUGCUGCUUCUAACUAUCCGUUAAAGUUGGACAAUAUAUGACAAUUUGACCUCAAAUCAGGUAGGACUACCCGCUGAACUUAA